CACGUAGGGCGCAAGCGUUGUCCGGAAUUAUUGGGCGUAAAGCGCGCGUAGGCGGCCCUGUAAGUCCGCUGUAAAAGUCAAAGGCUCAACCUUUGAAAGCCGGUGGAUACUGCAGGGCUAGAGUCCGGAAGAGGCGAGUGGAAUUCCUGGUGUAGCGGUGGAAUGCGCAGAUAUCAGGAGGAACACCAAUAGCGAAGGCAGCUCGCUGGGACGGUACUGACGCUAAGGCGCGAAAGCUAGGGGAGCGAACGGG
This 253-nucleotide ribosomal RNA is filed under the name uncultured bacterium. RNAcentral's name for it is "partial 16S ribosomal RNA". It matches the Rfam family "Bacterial small subunit ribosomal RNA", at positions 524 to 776 of the family's 1533-position model. The record is from RNAcentral.